RNAcentral lists this ribosomal RNA (387 nucleotides) under uncultured bacterium. RNAcentral's name for it is "bacterial SSU rRNA". It matches the Rfam family "Bacterial small subunit ribosomal RNA", at positions 355 to 759 of the family's 1533-position model. The record is from RNAcentral.
UAGGGAAUAUUGGUAAUGGGCGAAAGCCUGAACCAGCAACGCCGCGUGUGCGAUGAAGGCCUUCGGGUUGUAAAGCACUUUUUGAGGGGAUGAGGAAGGACAGUACCCUCAGAAUAAGUCUCGGCUAACUGCGUGCCAGCAGCCGCGGUAACACGUAGGAGACUAGCGUUAUCCGGAUUUACUGGGCGUAAAGCGCGUGCAGGUGGCUCGGAAAGUUCGAUGUGAAAGCUCCCGGCUUAACUGGGAGAGGUCGUUGAAUACUUUCGGAGUAGAGGAGGGGAGGGGGAGGCGGAAUUGCGGGUGUAGUGGUGGAGUGGGUAGAUAUCCGGAGGAACACCAGUGGCGAGAGCGGCGUCGUGGGUGAUGGCUGACACUCAGGCGCGAGAG